UCCUGUUCACAGAGAAUCAAUCUGAGACAUC
This 31-nucleotide non-coding RNA is filed under the name Mus musculus (house mouse). The record is from RNAcentral. Lineage: Eukaryota; Metazoa; Chordata; Mammalia; Rodentia; Muridae.